Molecule: ribosomal RNA, 497 nt
Filed under: uncultured bacterium
Lineage: Bacteria
Description: partial 16S ribosomal RNA
Rfam family: Bacterial small subunit ribosomal RNA
Source: RNAcentral
GAUGAACGCUGGCGGCGUGCCUAAUACAUGCAAGUCGAGCGAACGGACGAGAAGCUUGCUUCUCUGAUGUUAGCGGCGGACGGGUGAGUAACACGUGGAUAACCUACCUAUAAGACGGGGAUAACUUCGGGAAACCGGAGCUAAUACCGGAUAAUAUUUUGAACCGCAUGGUUCAAAAGAGAAAGACGGUCUUGCUGUCACUUAUAGAUGGAUCCGCGCUGCAUUAGCUAGUUGGUAAGGUAACGGCUUACCAAGGCAACGAUGCAUAGCCGAGCUGAGAGGGUGAUCGGCCACACUGGAACUGAGACACGGUCCAGACUCCUACGGGAGGCAGCAGUAGGGAAUCUUCCGCAAUGGGCGAAAGCCUGACGGAGCAACGCCGCGUGAGUGAUGAAGGUCUUCGGAUCGUAAAACUCUGUUAUUAGGGAAGAACAUAUGUGUAAUUAACUGUGCACAUCUUGACGGUACCUAAUCAGAAAGCCCCGGCUAACUACGUG